CAAAAUCUGCAAUCCUCUUGUAGUGUGAGAUGUUGAACGAGAAUGGUGAUCAGCGAUAGCCGUUGAGAGCUCGCCAGAGAAGAAGCCAGUGAGAUGAUGACGUUGUUUCGCAUCACCCAGGCUCCUCUGUCAGAAACAACUUGAAGCACUCUGCCUCAGAUGGAAAUGGCAAGGGGCGUUGCACUCCAGACUGGGACUCAUCAAAGCAAACAGCAGGGCCAGGAGGGGUGAAAUGGCUAGCAGCCUGCCAGCUAGCACAGAACUCCUGUACUUCAUCCACUGUCGGUCUGCCUCCAUCACCACCAGCAUCUUCAAAGGGAACUGGGACUUUGUCAGUGGACAAGGGAUCCUCAGAUUCAGG
This 361-nucleotide long non-coding RNA is filed under the name Salmo salar (Atlantic salmon). RNAcentral describes it as "lncRNA (ENSSSAG00000109139.1, ENSSSAG00020049453.1)". The record is from RNAcentral. Lineage: Eukaryota; Metazoa; Chordata; Actinopteri; Salmoniformes; Salmonidae.